Molecule: ribosomal RNA, 426 nt
Filed under: Triticum aestivum (bread wheat)
Lineage: Eukaryota; Viridiplantae; Streptophyta; Magnoliopsida; Poales; Poaceae
Description: partial small subunit ribosomal RNA
Source: RNAcentral
AUGUCGUCAGGUCAGCAUCAACAGCAGCAGCACCACCAUCAGGAGCCCAUGCAAAUGCAGUUCCCGGAGGGGUCGCUGCAGCAAUGGCCGCCGCGGUUGGAGCCCGAGCCAGCUCCGAUGAUGUCGGCCGGGCUGGGCCUCGGGUUACCAUACGACUCUACUGACGGUCCGAUGGAGUUGCCGGAGCUCAUGAUGGGCCAGUCAUCACUGUUCAGCGCCAAGCCGGCCACGCUGGACUUCCCGGGGCUCGGGAUGAGCCCCACCGGCGCAACGACGAGCAGGGGCCUCCCGUGUUCAUGCAGCCUAUGGGCGGCGUGGUCGGCAUGGCCCGGACCGGCAACGGCGCGGCGGAGACGUUCGGCUCUGGACGGGGGCGCUCAGGCCAAGCCGUGGGAGAGGAACCCGAGCAGCUCGCCAAUCCUGUGA